GCCCGCUUCACCCUCAUACCGAACGGGGUAUUGAGGUUUAAUGUCUUGGUUCUCAUACCGGACGAGGUAUGGGGACGACUCUGGAAUUAAGAUUGUUAAGGGGAAUGGUUCACGUGUAGCGAGGACACCCCUAUGGAUCCCCAUGAAUACUAGUAGGCUGGUAAAAAUGAGAAACGGUGAUAAUCAGUUAUUGUUAAUGAAUACGGAUUUAUGAUAUGUUUUAUGUUACUGAUUAUGCAUGAAAUUGUGAUAUGUAUGAUAUUACUGUUUCUGUAAUUUAU
Molecule: long non-coding RNA, 281 nt
Filed under: Carica papaya (papaya)
Lineage: Eukaryota; Viridiplantae; Streptophyta; Magnoliopsida; Brassicales; Caricaceae
Description: long non-coding RNA (CPAP_LNC009676)
Source: RNAcentral